Molecule: unclassified non-coding RNA, 311 nt
Filed under: uncultured fungus
Lineage: Eukaryota; Fungi
Description: partial contains 5.8S ribosomal RNA and internal transcribed spacer 2
Rfam family: 5.8S ribosomal RNA (bases 1-133)
Source: RNAcentral
UGGUUCUGGCAUCGAUGAAGAACGCAGCGAAAUGCGAUAAGUAAUGUGAAUUGCAGAAUUCAGUGAAUCAUCGAAUCUUUGAACGCACAUUGCGCCCUUUGGUAUUCCGAGGGGCACGCCUGUUCGAGCGUCAUUUAAACAAUCAAGCCCUGCUUGGUCUUGGACGCGGUCAAGUGACCUGUCCGUAACUCGUUGGCGGUGCAGUCCGGCUUCAAGCGUAGCAAAAAUUUCGCUUCAGGAGUCCGCGGCGGUACCCGCCAGGUAACUUGUACCCAAAGUUUGACCUCGGAUCAGGUGAGGAUACCCGCUGA